CUGUCACAUAGACACAUAUAUGGCCUAACAGAGUGGGAAACGUGGUCACGGCUUUGGCAACUGUUGUCCAGUAAAAACAAAAACAGAACAAAUAAACAAAAAACAGAGAUCCUGUUACCAAGGUGACAAAAGAAACUGAGAACAUCUGAUAUUCUUCUCUGGCAGUGGAACCUCCAGAAAUGGUUCUUUCUGCUCUGGGGACCAACCUACCCCCUACCCAAGCAUCUCCAGCAGCAUUGACACAGCUUGUGUCCCUGCCAUUAGAGAAGUCUCACAGGUGAAGGUGACUAUCAGUAGAAACCAAAAUGCUGACUCCAUGGCUACCAAAGACCUCAUCCUUCCAUCUCAGGCUACAAGACUGUUACCCUAGCUACUCAACUCAACUCAACUGUCUAACAAAAGAAGCUGAUAUAUCAAGAGAAUAAAACAGGAAGGAUUUGGAAAGCAGAAUUUACUACCAGGCUGUUGUAUCCAUGAGUAGCAUUUGAUCCAUGGAUGGUAGCUGCUGGUGACAGAUCUAGAGAAUGAAUGAACACCCUACUCUUAAAGAGCUUGCAAUUGAGCAAGGAUAACAUGGAAAUGUCAUUUGUAUUUUAAUAAAUAAUAAGUUCCAGAUAAGUGA
Molecule: long non-coding RNA, 622 nt
Organism: Mesocricetus auratus (golden hamster)
Lineage: Eukaryota; Metazoa; Chordata; Mammalia; Rodentia; Cricetidae
Exons: 2
Source: RefSeq, a predicted model, not a curated record